CCCUUGAUGUUCCAGCUGUCACAGUGAGACACCAGACUUGUGGGAAAACCUGUCUUGAAUUCCCAGCCGCAGGCAAAGAGCUGUCCUGCUAAGUCCAGCGAACCCAAAUUGCACAACUGUCUUGAGAUCAUCCUGCAUGGACCCCAUCGCUGGUGAGGGCUUUUCUCCCCCUGAAAUCCUUUUAAGCCUGGGGAAAAGAGAGUAAGGAGAAAGUGGAAUGAGAAAGCAGCAAUCAGCUGGAAAUUCUGUCAGGAGACACAGGUUCGAGCCCUGGUCCGGGAUGAUCCCACAUGCUGUGGAGCAACUAAGCCCGUGUGCCACAACUACUGAGCCUGAGUGCCACAACUACUGAAGCCCGCGUGCCUAGAGCCUGUGCUCCGUAACAAGAGAAGCCACUGCAGUGAGACGCCCGUGCACCGCAACGAAGAGUAGCCCCUGCUCACUGCAGCUAGAGAAAACCACGCACAGCAGCAAAGAAA
Molecule: long non-coding RNA, 479 nt
Organism: Balaenoptera ricei (Rice's whale)
Lineage: Eukaryota; Metazoa; Chordata; Mammalia; Artiodactyla; Balaenopteridae
Exons: 3
Source: RefSeq, a predicted model, not a curated record